Molecule: ribosomal RNA, 546 nt
Filed under: uncultured fungus
Lineage: Eukaryota; Fungi
Description: eukaryotic LSU rRNA
Rfam family: 5.8S ribosomal RNA (bases 191-344)
Source: RNAcentral
CGUAACAAGGUCUCCGUUGGUGAACCAGCGGANGNAUCAUUACCGAGUUUACAACUCCCAAACCCCUGUGAACAUACCAAUUGUUGCCUCGGCGGAUCAGCCCGCUCCCGGUAAAACGGGGCGGCCCGCCAGAGGACCCCUAAACUCUGUUUCUAUAUGUAACUUCUGAGUAAAACCAUAAAUAAAUCAAAACUUUCAACAACGGAUCUCUUGGUUCUGGCAUCGAUGAAGAACGCAGCAAAAUGCGAUAAGUAAUGUGAAUUGCAGAAUUCAGUGAAUCAUCGAAUCUUUGAACGCACAUUGCGCCCGCCAGUAUUCUGGCGGGCAUGCCUGUUCGAGCGUCAUUUCAACCCUCAAGCCCAGCUUGGUGUUGGGACUCGCGAGUCAAAUCGCGUUCCCCAAAUUGAUUGGCGGUCACGUCGAGCUUCCAUAGCGUAGUAGUAAAACCCUCGUUACUGGUAAUCGUCGCGGCCACGCCGUUAAACCCCAACUUCUGAAUGUUGACCUCGGAUCAGGUAGGAAUACCCGCUGAACUUAAGCAUAUCA